GGAUCCAGACUUUGAUUAUGGCUCACGAUGAACGCUAGCUACAGGCUUAACACAUGCAAGUCGAGGGGAAACGACAUCGAAAGCUUGCUUUUGAUGGGCGUCGACCGGCGCACGGGUGAGUAACGCGUAUCCAACCUGCCCAUCACUUGGGGAUAACCUUGCGAAAGUAAGACUAAUACCCAAUGAUAUCCCACGAAGGCAUCCGAAUGGGAUUAAAGAUUUAUCGGUGAUGGAUGGGGAUGCGUCUGAUUAGCUUGUUGGCGGGGUAACGGCCCACCAAGGCGACGAUCAGUAGGGGUUCUGAGAGGAAGGUCCCCCACAUUGGAACUGAGACACGGUCCAAACUCCUACGGGAGGCAGCAGUGAGGAAUAUUGGUCAAUGGGCGAGAGCCUGAACCAGCCAAGUAGCGUGCAGGACGACGGCCCUAUGGGUUGUAAACUGCUUUUAUAAGGGAAUAAAGUGAGUCUCGUGAGACUUUUUGCAUGUACCUUAUGAAUAAGGACCGGCUAAUUCCGUGCCAGCAGCCGCGGUAAUACGGAAGGUCCGGGCGUUAUCCGGAUUUAUUGGGUUUAAAGGGAGCGUAGGCCGGAGAUUAAGCGUGUUGUGAAAUGUAGAGGCUCAACCUCUGCACUGCAGCGCGAACUGGUCUUCUUGAGUACGCACAACGUGGGCGGAAUUCGUGGUGUAGCGGUGAAAUGCUUAGAUAUCACGAAGAACUCCGAUUGCGAAGGCAGCUCACGGGAGCGCAACUGACGCUGAAGCUCGAAAGUGCGGGUAUCGAACAGGAUUAGAUACCCUGGUAGUCCGCACGGUAAACGAUGGAUGCCCGCUGUUGGCCUGAAUAGGUCAGCGGCCAAGCGAAAGCAUUAAGCAUCCCACCUGGGGAGUACGCCGGCAACGGUGCAACUCAAAUGAAUUGACGG
RNAcentral lists this ribosomal RNA (924 nucleotides) under uncultured Bacteroidota bacterium. RNAcentral's name for it is "bacterial SSU rRNA". It matches the Rfam family "Bacterial small subunit ribosomal RNA", at positions 1 to 916 of the family's 1533-position model. Lineage: Bacteria; Pseudomonadati; Bacteroidota. The record is from RNAcentral.